RNAcentral lists this ribosomal RNA (253 nucleotides) under uncultured bacterium. RNAcentral's name for it is "partial 16S ribosomal RNA". It matches the Rfam family "Bacterial small subunit ribosomal RNA", at positions 524 to 776 of the family's 1533-position model. The record is from RNAcentral.
UACGGGGGGGGCAAGCGUUGUUCGGAAUUACUGGGCGUAAAGGGCUCGUAGGCGGCCAACUAAGUCAGACGUGAAAUCCCCAGGCUCAACCUGGGAACUGCGUCCGAUACUGGAUGGCUUGAAUUCGGGAGAGGGAUGCAGAAUUCCAGGUGUAGCGGUGAAAUGCGUAGAUAUCUGGAGGAAUACCGGUGGCGAAGGCGGCAUCCUGGACCGACAUUGACGCUGAGGAGCGAAAGCUAGGGGAGCAAACGGG